AGCAGCCGCGGUAAUUCCAGCUCCAAUAGCGUAUAUUAAAGUUGUUGCAGUUAAAAAGCUCGUAGUUGAAUUUCGGGGUCAGUAGGUCGGUCGUGCCACUGGUAUGAACUGGUUUUACUGAUUCCUCCCUCUUGAAGAACUGUAAUGCCAUUAAUUUGGUGUUGCAGGGAAUCAGGACUGUUACUUUGAAAAAUUAGAGUGUUUAAAGCAGGCUUUAGCUUGAAUACAUUAGCAUGGAAUAAUGAAAUAGGACGUUUGAUCCUAUUUUGUUGGUUUCUAGGAUUGACGUAAUGAUUAAUAGGGAUAGUUGGGGGCAUUAGUAUUCAAUUGUCAGAGGUGAAAUUCUUGGAUUUAUUGAAGACUAACUACUGCGAAAGCAUUUGCCAAGGAUGUUUUCAUUAAUCAAGAACGAAAGUUAGGGGAUCGAAGACGAUCAGAUGCCGUCGUAGUCUUAACCAUAAACUAUGCCGACUAGGGAUCGGAUGAUGUUAAUUUUUAANGUACUCAUUCGGCGCCUUAA
RNAcentral lists this ribosomal RNA (520 nucleotides) under uncultured Glomus. Its description in RNAcentral is "SSU rRNA". It matches the Rfam family "Eukaryotic small subunit ribosomal RNA", at positions 569 to 1091 of the family's 1831-position model. Lineage: Eukaryota; Fungi; Glomeromycota; Glomeromycetes; Glomerales; Glomeraceae. The record is from RNAcentral.